RNAcentral lists this transfer RNA (74 nucleotides) under Synechococcus sp. PCC 7335. It matches the Rfam family "tRNA". Rfam says of the family: Transfer RNA (tRNA) molecules are approximately 80 nucleotides in length. Their secondary structure includes four short double-helical elements and three loops (D, anti-codon, and T loops). Further hydrogen bonds mediate the characteristic L-shaped molecular structure. tRNAs have two regions of fundamental functional importance: the anti-codon, which is responsible for specific mRNA codon recognition, and the 3' end, to which the tRNAs corresponding amino acid is attached (by aminoacyl-tRNA synthetases). tRNAs cope with the degeneracy of the genetic code in two manners: having more than one tRNA (with a specific anti-codon) for a particular amino acid; and 'wobble' base-pairing, i.e. permitting non-standard base-pairing at the 3rd anti-codon position. Lineage: Bacteria; Bacillati; Cyanobacteriota; Cyanophyceae; Synechococcales; Synechococcaceae. RNAcentral also lists the same sequence under 18 other names. The record is from Rfam by way of RNAcentral.
CGGGAUGUGGCGCAGUUUGGUAGCGCACCUCGUUCGGGACGAGGGGGCCGUGGGUUCGAAUCCCGCCAUCCCGA